GAGAAUUAGAAUAGUACUUGUCACGGCUUCAUCCCAAGCUACCUGGAAAUUCAUUUUGUUUCAUUACGAUAAACAAGAUACACUUGAAGCCAGCUCUCCUGACCCCUAAGUUAGAAGAGCUAAGAGAAGCUCCAAGAAACUCAGUGAAUGUAUGACUGGAUGGCCACCCAAACAAAUGAUCUUUCCAGAAGUGUUAAUGCUGGACUGACUUGUCCUGUGCUUUUCACACUCUUAAAAAAAUCAAUAUAACCCUUUCUUCAAACAAAAGCUUAACUAAAAUCCCUGGAUACAGGAAGGAAUAAAAGCCGAGCUGCUCUCAUUCUUUAGAAAAGAAAUGCCUAUAGCCUUGCCCAGAACUCUUUCUCCCUCGAUGUGGCUCCAAAGGUGCCACAGUGGAACCCAGCAGAGCACCAGUGACCUUGUCAGAAGAGACAUCACAUCUAGGAAGCGAUGGGGAAGAGAAGACCAAACCACCAGCACCGUGUGUUUCCAAGGGUGGUAAGCGCACUGUGGAGAAAUGCAACACACCGCAUGCGGUAUACAGAUAAACAGACCAGCAUUUGCUCUUUGCAGCCAUCACAACACGCUCGUGUUGGGCCUGGAGUCAGGCGAGACCACUGACCGCCAGCACUGGGUCCUGCACGUGGCUGAGAAGCAGCGCUCUAGCCAAGCUGCAGACAGCAGCAUGGAUUGGAGAAUGCAGACAGCAGCAUGGAUUGGAGAAGGCAAAAUCAGGGCUGGCAUACCGAGAUUCCCCUCAGGCCCACCUCCACCCUCCUGAUAAGGACUAAAACAGUUUUGUAGAAAUCCCGUCAAGGAGUAUGAAGAAAAACAGAGAAAGAUUCUGCAACAGAGAGAGGGAAUUUGUGUAUAAAUUCAAAGUAGGAAGUCAGUGUUUAGAACUGAGGAUGCCACUCCAAUUUCCUGUUCAAGAGAAUGCCAGUCAUUUGCAUGGACGCCUGAUGCUGCUGCACAGUUUACCGUGCUUUAUAGAAAAUGAUUUAAAAGAAGCUCUGAGCCAGUUUAUAGAAGAAGAAUCCCUCCAAGAUUAUGAUAGAGAUGCUGAGGCAUCCCUGGAAGCUGUGAAAUCAGGUGAAGUAGAUCUACAUCAAUUAGCAAGUACAUGGGCCAAAGCUUAUGCUGAGACCACAUUAGAGCAUGCAAGGCCUGAAGAACCCAGCUGGGAUGAAGAUUUUGCAGAUGUGUACCAUGACCUAAUCCAUUCCCCUGCCUCUGAAACGCUCCUUAAUUUAGAACAUAAUUACUUUGUUAGCAUCUCAGAACUGAUCGGUGAAAGAGAUGUGGAACUGAAAAAAUUACGAGAGAGACAAGGUGUUGAAAUGGAUAAAGUGAUGCAAGAAUUGGGAAAAUCACUGACAGAUCAAGAUGUAAAUUCACUGGCUGCUCAGCAUUUUGAAUCCCAGCAAGACUUGGAGAAUAAAUGGUCGAAUGAAUUAAAACAAUCCACUGCCAUCCAAAAGCAAGAGUAUCAGGAAUGGGUGAUCAAACUUCAUCAAGACCUAAAAAACCCCAACAACAGUUCCCUCAGUGAAGAAAUUAAAGUUCAGCCAAGUCAGUUCAGAGAAUCUGUAGAAGCAAUUGGAAGGAUAUAUGAGGAACAGAGAAAGUUAGAAGAAAGUUUUACCAUUCACUUAGGAGCCCAAUUGAAGACCAUGCAUAAUUUGAGGUUGCUGAGAGCAGAUAUGCUAGACUUCUGUAAACAUAAAAGAAAUCAUAGAAGUGGUGUGAAACUCCAUCGGCUCCAAACAGCACUAUCACUUUAUUCUACGUCUCUCUGUGGCCUGGUGUUACUAGUAGACAAUCGAAUAAAUUCAUAUAGUGGUAUUAAAAGAGAUUUUGCCACAGUUUGCCAAGAAUGUACUGACUUCCACUUUCCCCGAAUUGAAGAGCAACUAGAAGUGGUCCAACAGGUGGUACUUUAUGCUAGGACCCAGCGCAGGAGUAAGUUGAAAGAAUCACAUGAUUCUGGAAACCAAAAUGGAGGAAGUGAUGAUAAAACUAAGACUGCUGAGAGAAACUAUUUAAACAUAUUACCAGGAGAAUUUUACAUUACACGGCAUUCUAAUCUCUCAGAAAUCCAUGUUGCUUUCCAUCUCUGUGUGGACGACAAUGUGAAGUCAGGAAACAUCACUGCUCGUGAUCCUGCAAUUAUGGGACUCCGAAAUAUACUCAAAGUUUGCUGUACCCAUGACAUCACUACAAUAAGCAUUCCUCUCUUGCUGGUGCAUGAUAUGUCAGAAGAAAUGACUAUACCGUGGUGCUUAAGGAGAGCAGAACUUGUGUUUAAGUGUGUCAAAGGUUUCAUGAUGGAAAUGGCCUCGUGGGAUGGAGGAAUUUCUAGGACAGUGCAAUUUCUGGUACCUCAGAGUAUUUCUGAAGAAAUGUUUUAUCAACUUAGUAACAUGCUCCCCCAGAUCUUCCGAGUAUCAUCCACACUCACUCUGACAUCCAAGCACUAAAGUGUUAUAGAUUGACAUGCUGGCAGAAGAGGAUUGUUAAACUCUCCAGGAACUUGAGCUAUGCUGGGAUUCUGUCAAGCAGAAGAUGCCCAGAAAGAGAACAUACAACUGAAGCUACAAAUCAAAUCGUGAUAUGUCUGUUAAACAUUCCAGAAAUUUAUAUAGUGCACAGACUAACGAACGUUACUCAAGGAAAAACUGUGUUUUAGUAACAACACUAAGAAGAACGCCCACUCCAGCAGAAUGUCCAUGAGGCUCUAAAACUUUCCACAUUCCUCAUCAGCGAGCCUCAUGAUCCCUAAGAAGGCAAGAGAGCGUAGCAGCUAUCUGUGGAUAUCUAUGGAGAAUGAAACCUGGAACACAUUACCAAAGAAGCAAACAGAUCUUUCAUGAAGACGUUUAGGAAUUAAGCAGACACUGUGCUGUCUGUCAAAGGUGAAAUAAAUGAGGCUCAGAGAAGUCCAAAACAUUCCCAGAUCGCACAGCGAAUAUGUGGUGGAGUUGGGAUUCAAAUCCAGGCAUCCUCUUUCCAAAGUCAUUGCUUUAUAAGACAUCAACUACAACCUCUCCGUAGACAGGAACCUGGGGUGAGGCCUGCUGGAGAUUUCCACAGUGGAGAGAGGUGUGGUGAGUCUCUUUGGGGUGCGAAGUGCCCUCUUUGUUGCCAUGAACAGUAAAGGAAGAUUGUAUACAACG
Microcebus murinus (gray mouse lemur) is the source of this 3176-nucleotide non-coding RNA. The record is from RefSeq and is a predicted model, not a curated record. Lineage: Eukaryota; Metazoa; Chordata; Mammalia; Primates; Cheirogaleidae.